GCGCAGUUGAGGGCCCUGUGUGGGUGUGGGCAUGUGAGUGUGUAUCGCUCGCAUCCAUGCUCAUGCACACACCCACAUGCCCUCACUC
Molecule: microRNA precursor, 88 nt
Filed under: Myotis lucifugus (little brown bat)
Lineage: Eukaryota; Metazoa; Chordata; Mammalia; Chiroptera; Vespertilionidae
Description: miRNA (ENSMLUG00000026940.1)
Source: RNAcentral